Non-coding RNA from Pelobates cultripes (western spadefoot toad), 354 nucleotides. The record is from the annotation of a GenBank genome assembly. Lineage: Eukaryota; Metazoa; Chordata; Amphibia; Anura; Pelobatidae.
CAUAGCUGGCCUUAUAUGCAAGUCCCCAUGCAAGGGAACACCCACCUGGACCUUGUGGGGAACAGGAUGACAAUUGUUACAAGCCAAUGAUAAUGCAGUACAGUAGGUGACACUCCCACACAUUACACACAAUCCCUCCCCUCAGCUUGGGAGAUAAUUGAGUCAAGUCCUGUAUGUAACUCAAUUAUCUCCAGGCAGAAAAACACACAUUUUUAUAAAGUAUGAAAAGUACCCCAAUAUACAACAUAUGUCACAUCCCCUGAUAGCUCUGAUCUGGGUGACCAACAUAUCCAAAAAUCACCCAGAUCAGAGCAGGGGUUCAGGAAUUUUGUGGAAAUCCCAUUUUGACUGACC